CUCCAACCAGAGCACAAGGAUAAGAGGAAAAUCUAUGCUAUUUAGUUACCAGAAAUAGAUGAAUGGCUGCUGGGGAGCAUAGAGGCCACCGAUAUGGUCCUGGAGGGCCGCCCCUCCUCACUGCAGCCUGCCUGCUCCCCUUGUGCCUCUGUGUCCAGCUGGAGCCCAAUGCCUGCUGUUCACUUCUCUGACUUCUGCCUCCUCAGCGGUUCUAGGAAGGAAAACAGGAGAGAGCCCUGAGCCCUGACCUUCUUCUGUCACCAUCAGCUUGUGAUAUCUUCUCAGGCCAGCUCUAGCCAACUCUGUGACUGUUUCCACAGGUGCCGAUGUUGGCAUCAUGUCUAACUUCUGCUGCUUCUCAAAGUUGCCAUGAUAAUCUCAUUAGAGAG
This 389-nucleotide long non-coding RNA is filed under the name Rhinopithecus bieti (black snub-nosed monkey). RNAcentral describes it as "lncRNA (ENSRBIG00000046606.1)". Lineage: Eukaryota; Metazoa; Chordata; Mammalia; Primates; Cercopithecidae. The record is from RNAcentral.